CAGCUUGCUGUUUCGCUGACGAGUGGCGGACGGGUGAGUAAUGUCUGGGAAACUGCCUGAUGGAGGGGGAUAACUACUGGAAACGGUAGCUAAUACCGCAUAACGUCGCAAGACCAAAGAGGGGGACCUUCGGGCCUCUUGCCAUCGGAUGUGCCCAGAUGGGAUUAGCUAGUAGGUGGGGUAACGGCUCACCUAGGCGACGAUCCCUAGCUGGUCUGAGAGGAUGACCAGCCACACUGGAACUGAGACACGGUCCAGACUCCUACGGGAGGCAGCAGUGGGGAAUAUUGCACAAUGGGCGCAAGCCUGAUGCAGCCAUGCCGCGUGUAUGAAGAAGGCCUUCGGGUUGUAAAGUACUUUCAGCGGGGAGGAAGGGAGUAAAGUUAAUACCUUUGCUCAUUGACGUUACCCGCAGAAGAAGCACCGGCUAACUCCGUGCCAGCAGCCGCGGUAAUACGGAGGGUGCAAGCGUUAAUCGGAAUUACUGGGCGUAAAGCGCACGCAGGCGGUUUGUUAAGUCAGAUGUGAAAUCCCCGGGCUCAACCUGGGAACUGCAUCUGAUACUGGCAAGCUUGAGUCUCGUAGAGGGGGGUAGAAUUCCAGGUGUAGCGGUGAAAUGCGUAGAGAUCUGGAGGAAUACCGGUGGCGAAGGCGGCCCCCUGGACGAAGACUGACGCUCAGGUGCGAAAGCGUGGGGAGCAAACAGGAUU
Molecule: ribosomal RNA, 710 nt
Filed under: Shigella flexneri
Lineage: Bacteria; Pseudomonadati; Pseudomonadota; Gammaproteobacteria; Enterobacterales; Enterobacteriaceae
Description: bacterial SSU rRNA
Rfam family: Bacterial small subunit ribosomal RNA
Source: RNAcentral